RNAcentral lists this long non-coding RNA (506 nucleotides) under Salmo salar (Atlantic salmon). RNAcentral's name for it is "lncRNA (ENSSSAG00000087013.1)". Lineage: Eukaryota; Metazoa; Chordata; Actinopteri; Salmoniformes; Salmonidae. The record is from RNAcentral.
GUGUUGUUUUACAGGGUCAGUCAUAGUAGUAUGAUAGGUGUUGUUUUACAGGGUCAGCCAUAGUAGUAUGAUAGGUGUUGUUUUACAGGGUCAGCCAUAGUAGUAUGAUAGGUGUUGUUGUACAGGGUCAGCCAUAGUAGUAUGAUAGGUGCAGUGUAAUGUGUUGUUUUACAGGGUCAGCCAUAGUAGUAUGAUAGGUGCAGUGUAAUGUGUUGUUUUACAGGGUCAGCCAUAGUAGUACGAUAGGUGCAGUGUAAUGUGUUGUUUUACAGGGUCAGCCAUAGUAGUAUGAUAGGUGCAGUGUAAUGUGUUGUUUUACAGGGUCAGCCGUAGUAGUAUGAUAAGUGUUGUUUUACAGGGUCAGCCACAGUAAUAUGAUAGGUGUUGUUGUACAGGGUCAGCCAUAGUAGUAUGUUAGGUGUUGUUUUACAGGGUCAGCCAUAGUAAUAUGAUAGGUGUUGUUUUACAGGGUCAGUCAUAGUAGUAUGAUAGGUGUUGUUUUACAG